Molecule: ribosomal RNA, 408 nt
Filed under: Triticum aestivum (bread wheat)
Lineage: Eukaryota; Viridiplantae; Streptophyta; Magnoliopsida; Poales; Poaceae
Description: partial small subunit ribosomal RNA
Source: RNAcentral
AUGAAUCUGAAGAGAACGCUUGGAAAAUUGCAUGAGUGGAGUAACACUUAUAUUGGAUAUCUACCCAGGAAACUUGAUUUGGCGAGGAAAAGACUUAAUAGCCUUUACAAAAGAAAUGACAAUGCAGCCUUGAUGGAAAGGAAGGUGAUUCUGAAGGAAAUGGAUGAGCUCCUUUAUAAAGAAGAAAUGUUAUGGAAGCAAAGAUCGUGGAUUGAUAAAAUUAAAUGGGGGGACAGGAACACAAAAUUCUUCAGAUCUAAGGCUACCUGGAGAGCUAAGAAAAAUAAUAUCUCAAGCUUGAGAAGGAAUGAUGGCUCGGUUACAGAGAAUGUGGCUGAGAUCCAUAAUAUCACUAAUUCUUUUUUAAGCAUCUAUACACAUGUGAUGGUACGGUUGAUCCUUCUCUGA